GAUGAACGCUGGCGGCGUGCCUAAUACAUGCAAGUCGAGCGAACGGACGAGAAUCUUGCUUCUCUUAUGUUAGCGGCGGACGGGUGAGUAACACGUGGAUAACCGACCUAUAAGACUGGGAUAACUUCGGGAAACCUUAGCUAAUACCGGAUAAUAUUUUGAACCGCAUGGUUCAAAAGUGCAAGACGUUCUUGCUGUCACUUAUAGAUGGAUCCUCGCUGCAUUAGCUAGUUGGUAAGGUAACGGCUUACCAAGGCAACGCUGCGUAGCCGAUCUGAGAGGAUGAGCAGUAACACUGGAACGGAGACACGGUCAAGACUCCUACGGGAAGAAGCAGUGGGGAAGAUUGGACAAUGGGAGAAAGCCUGAACAAGACAUGCAGCGUGAAUGAAGAAGGUAUUCGGAUAGAAAAAGACUUUAAGUUGGGAGGAAGGUCAGUAAGUUAAUACCUGGAAGUGUGGACGUUACCAACGGAAUAAGCAGCGGAUAAGUUGGUG
RNAcentral lists this ribosomal RNA (497 nucleotides) under uncultured bacterium. RNAcentral describes it as "partial 16S ribosomal RNA". It matches the Rfam family "Bacterial small subunit ribosomal RNA", at positions 28 to 507 of the family's 1533-position model. The record is from RNAcentral.